CUACGGGCGGCUCCAGUGGGGAAUAUUGCACAAUGGGCGCAAGCCUGAUGCAGCAACGCCGCGUGAGGGAUGACGGCCUUCGGGUUGUAAACCUCUUUUAGCAGGGAAGAAGCGAAAGUGACGGUACCUGCAGAAAAAGCACCGGCUAACUACGUGCCAGCAGCCGCGGUAAUACGUAGGGUGCAAGCGUUGUCCGGAAUUAUUGGGCGUAAAGAGCUCGUAGGCGGUUUGUCACGUCUGCUGUGAAAAUCCAAGGCUCAACCUUGGACUUGCAGUGGGUACGGGCAGGCUAGAGUGCGGUAGGGGAGAUGGGAAUUCCUGGUGUAGCGGUGGAAUGCGCAGAUAUCAGGAGGAACACCAAUGGCGAAGGCACAUCUCUGGGCCGUAACUGACGCUGAGGAGCGAAAGCGUGGGGAGCGAACAGGAUUAGAUACCCCCGUAGUC
RNAcentral lists this ribosomal RNA (444 nucleotides) under uncultured bacterium. RNAcentral describes it as "partial 16S ribosomal RNA". It matches the Rfam family "Bacterial small subunit ribosomal RNA", at positions 339 to 795 of the family's 1533-position model. The record is from RNAcentral.